Chenopodium quinoa (quinoa) is the source of this 658-nucleotide long non-coding RNA. RefSeq lists it as uncharacterized. The record is from RefSeq and is a predicted model, not a curated record. Lineage: Eukaryota; Viridiplantae; Streptophyta; Magnoliopsida; Caryophyllales; Amaranthaceae. The transcript is spliced from 2 exons.
GUUCCCCAUAGGUCUAUCGCAGAUUAAGUGUAUAAGCUGUUAAAGGCAGCUAGAAUAAUAGAAUUAAGUAUUUUGAAUUUAAAGUAUCAGCUUUUGCAUAUGCCUUCAUCAUCAUUUAGAUAUCUUAAAUAUUUGUCCGCAAGUUAACACAUUUGUUCUUUUUUGUUUGCUUAUCUAUGUAACUGAUAUAUCUGCAGGUUAAUUAUUUGGUGGUUACAAAUAUCUCUUAAUAUGGGUGACAUUCAGAAUGAUCCUCUUUCAGAAGAGGAAACUACUUGUAGGUUUCUUUUGUAUGAACUUCAGAUAAUUUUGGGAUGAAGUGAGCAAGCCUGAAAUAUUAGGGCCAAGAUGUUACUUGUAGGAGUGGAGCACGUGCUUAAAGGCGCCAAGAAGACAAGGAUACAACCAGAUGAAGCAUGUGUGAGAUGGUGAUAGUGUUAUAGGUUGAGGUUAUGGGAUUUAAUUUCAUUUGUAGUACGAGUAGUAUUUAAUUUAUAUUUUUAAACGGUAGAAAUGGGUAGAAUUAGAUACGUAAAUGAUGAAGUAAUGCAAGAGCAUAUAAGUGAAUAUAUGAGCAUAAUGUGUACUUGUUUUCAACUUCAAUAUGUGUAUUGUGAUUUUAGUAGAGAAAUUAUAUCUUUGUUCUUGAGGCUAGGUA